CCCUAUGGGGUGCAGCAGGCGGUACAACGCAUAGUCUCGAAGAGCCCUUUUUUGUCCUUGCGACACAAAAUCCAAUCGAGCAAGAAGGGACAUAUCCUUUACCGGAAGCACAACUUGACAGAUUUAUGUUUGACUUAUGGCUUGGAUAUCCUAAUGCCGAAGAGGAAAAAGAGAUUAUCAAAAAAACGACAGGAAUGUACACUCCCGAAUUGAAUAAUAUUUUUUCAAAGCAGGAAAUAAUUGCAUUUCAAGAUUUAAUAAGGAAAGUUCCCGUAUCCGAUGAAGUGAUUUCAUACACAGUAAAAUUUGUUUCUCAAACAAGACCUGAGUUCAAAUCGUCUCCGGAUUAUAUUAAAAAUUAUAUAAGUUGGGGGGC
RNAcentral lists this ribosomal RNA (376 nucleotides) under uncultured prokaryote. Its description in RNAcentral is "partial 16S ribosomal RNA". The record is from RNAcentral.